AAGUUAAACACCGCGUCAGCAGAAAAGCCUUGGUGGUCCACUAACGAGCUGGGUCUUUUUAGUAAACAGAUUGUGGGACAAAGGCUGACGAACACGCCAGUCCCCUAUCAGUACAAGCAGCAACGGACAAUGAACAGCACCCAAAACAAAACACGACCAGUCUACGUGCACAUAACUUAAUCCAAAGGUGCAGAAUAGGAUAAGAGAUGGCUCAUUCACCACCCAACACAGUCACAACAGUGUGUACAGAAGAUAACACCCUCAACAGAAGAGUCCACGUGUUUCACUUGAAAAUACGUCACGGUAUGGAAGGAAAAUGCAUCAUGACUUCUGAUUCACACUGGCCCUUUAUCAAAGUGGCGUGGAAAAGAGUGCAGAUUUGACCGUCGUGAAUGAUAUACGAGCUACUCCAUGACUGAUUUAGGAAACUGCUGUACAAUGAUGAAACAAGCAGUGAUUUGGGUGCAAUAGGCUAGUUGCACAAGAUGGCACUUCCAGUAUUUCAGCAAUGUGUGCACAACAGCAUCCGGUGGUGUCUCAUCUGGUACUACACAUUGAAUUUCUACACAACAUUUUGGCUGGAUCUGCCUAAAGAUCACGAUAUCCUCAUCAGCACGAUGAUAUAUACUUGUAGUAUAUACAUGUUCUCCUACAAUGCUGCAUCACUUUUGUGCAGUGGCAGCAGACUCUGCAGCUUCUCUUUAGCGAUGUGCUACUAGAAUCAUGUACAGAAAACACUUGUGAUGAACUUAAUUGUCGUGGGAGUGAAAUUUGUACAUGAUUAUAGUUGCAAACUACUUAAGAGAAGCAGCAAAAUCUGCCCCUCACAAAUGUGAUGUAUCACUUCUGGUAAAGCAGAACUCUUCUGCAGUGCUUUUGGUAUUUACGGUAGAGUUUUCUGUCUUUGCAGAAAAAAAAAUGGUGUGGGUGGGGGUUUUGUACAUGAUUGAGAAGUAAGGCAAGUUGAGGGCAAGUAUGAAUUACACGAAGUCUGAACAUAAGCAAUAAAUGUAUGCUGGUAAUGUAACGUGAUUUGAGAGUGGAUCUGCAAUAAUACUGUCUACAUUUCACAUUAACUUUAAAGGAUAGCAGGCGUCCAACAGCUAAAUGUUAUUGAUUGAACUUUCCUUCUUAAUUAUAUAAAUCGCCACCUACAUUCUGAAGCCCUACUCUCUUUUACUCAUUGGUGCUGAUGAGAACAUCUGAAUGAUGUGAUAUACAAGGAAGUGAUGCCCUAAUUCAUGCGGAUGUCUUGAUAGUGAGCCAAUAAAAGAAAAGUGAUCAGCAGCUCAUGAGCCAAUAGUUGUCCUCACAGGCAGAGCUUGGAGUCGAGCAGGAUGUGCACUGCCCCCCUACUGGACAGAGCUGAAAUAUGUUUAUAGAGUUAAAAUCACAACAAUUGAAAAGAAAAAAAAUGUAAAAUUAACAAAAUGUUGUGGCCUUUUUUUCAGAUAAAGUGAUGUGAUGGUGUGUUGUGGUUAUUUUUAUAAAAAUCUGGCUACUUGAGCCAUACUGUCAUGUGAAGAAGUAAGUGCACCCCAUAAAAUGUUUCUCUUUCAGUAUUUGAUCUUUAUUUGAACAGCAUAUAUAGAUAAGUGUUAUGUAAUAGAACAAAUAAAUAAUAGAAAUUUGACAUAAUAAUGAACUGAGAUGUCAUUUUUGUCCAUUGAAAAAGGAAAAAGUAAAUACACCCCUGGCUUCAGGAACUGGUAUUGCCCCCUUUGGCAGAAACAACUUUAUGUAAGUUUCCUAUAACUUUUUCUGGCAUCUAAUGGGAAAAAAAGAUUUGCCCACUUCUCUGUGCAGAAUUCUUGUAACUGUGUAAUGUUUGAGGGUUUUCUUGAAUGUAAAGCCCAUUUAAAAUUAUCCCACAGCAUUUCAAUGGGGUUCAGAUCUAAGCUUUGACAAGGCCAUUCCAUAACCCUCUGUUUCUUCCUAUUGAGCCAUUUCUUGGUGGCUUUACUUACAUAUUUGGGAUCAUUAUCCUGUUGGAAGGUCCACUUCGUCAGCUUCACAGAUUUUCACAGAUGGUCUCACAUUCACCUCAAUCAGUCUCUGCUAUGAAAGAGAAUUCAUUGUCAAUUCUAUAAGUGCAAGUUGGCCAGGCCCUGAAGCAGCAAAGCAGCCCCAAAACAUACCAUUUCCACUACCAUGUCUUACAGUUGGUGAAAGAGUCUUCUGAUCAAAUGCUGUCUCUGGUUUUUGCCAAACAUGGCUUCUGGUACUGUG
Long non-coding RNA from Colossoma macropomum (tambaqui), 2229 nucleotides. RefSeq lists it as uncharacterized. NCBI's taxonomy places the organism in Eukaryota, Metazoa, Chordata, Actinopteri, Characiformes, Serrasalmidae. The record is from RefSeq and is a predicted model, not a curated record. The transcript has 3 exons.